RNAcentral lists this long non-coding RNA (484 nucleotides) under Mustela putorius furo (domestic ferret). Its description in RNAcentral is "lncRNA (ENSMPUG00000024288.1)". Lineage: Eukaryota; Metazoa; Chordata; Mammalia; Carnivora; Mustelidae. The record is from RNAcentral.
UUCAAAUUCCCCUCAGUAUCUCUGGAUAUAGGCACCCAAACAUCUAGGGGAUAGUCAUUCCCCUAAAAAUGUCAGUUUUAUAAGCUCAACUGUGAAAAUCAGCAUUCCCAUGAAUGUUUUUGUAAUUCCAAGAAGAAUGAUUACAGAGAAAAAGAUCUACCUUUUAAUUGGAAAAGGUUGAUAUGAACUGAGUUCAAAUCUCAUGCUGAUUUGCCAUUGCCUUCAGCUGUGGAAGACCUAGAAAGAAUACCACCCGGAUCCUCGCCAAGGUGACUGGGGUCCUGCAGAAUCCUGUAAGAAAACUCCAGGAAAUGGAGCGCAUGCUUCUUCCUGGGCCCACAUCCAGAAUAAACAAGGGAAGAUCCCUGGAGUGUUUUCUUGUCCUCCUUUAGAUAGAUCAGCAAAAAGGACAAAUGCUAUGUUUCUCCUUUGGUCACUGUGCCUCCGAUUUCUUCCAGAAAUGAGGACAAGGAAAGAGCAGCAG